CCAAAGGCUCUUUUCAGAGCCACUUCAUUUUCAUCGAAAGAGUUGU
Molecule: non-coding RNA, 46 nt
Organism: Ailuropoda melanoleuca (giant panda)
Lineage: Eukaryota; Metazoa; Chordata; Mammalia; Carnivora; Ursidae
Source: Rfam